Molecule: long non-coding RNA, 434 nt
Filed under: Cricetulus griseus (Chinese hamster)
Lineage: Eukaryota; Metazoa; Chordata; Mammalia; Rodentia; Cricetidae
Description: lncRNA (ENSCGRG00015037603.1)
Source: RNAcentral
GGCUGGGGUUGGGGGAGGGGGCUGGCGAGACCGGGAGAACUUGGCUGGCUGGCUGACUGAAUGGGGAUACUUGGUAUGGUGGCUGUUCUUGCCAGGACAAUAGCUGGCUGACAAAAUCAGGCUCAGGCCUUUCUGACUUGAGAGAAGCCUGCGUGGAGUUUUAGGUAGGUCCAGUGUGGGCCUCAGAUGACUUGGGUGGAUCAGACCUGCUGCCUGCCCUUAUGAAGCCCAUGAUCCGCUACUAACCUGUGGGCCUGGAAGUCAUGCACCUGCAUCCGGAUCCCUCUAGGACUUGUGAAAUGUAGGUCCCAAGGCCUACUCUCUGCAAAUAUAAAGCUGAGAAAUCUCCAGGAGGCUAGGGAGAUGGUCUCAAUGGAUAAGAACACUUGCUCCGCAAGCACAAAGACCUGAGUUCAAAUCCAUAGCAACCACGG